GUGCCAGCAGCCGCGGUAAUACGGAGGGUGCAAGCGUUAAUCGGAAUUACUGGGCGUAAAGCGCACGCAGGCGGUCUGUCAAGUCGGAUGUGAAAUCCCCGGGCUCAACCUGGGAACUGCAUUCGAAACUGGCAGGCUAGAGUCUUGUAGAGGGGGGUAGAAUUCCAGGUGUAGCGGUGAAAUGCGUAGAGAUCUGGAGGAAUACCGGUGGCGAAGGCGGCCCCCUGGACAGAUACUGACACUCAGAUGCGAAAGCGUGGGGAGCAAACAGGAUUAGAUACC
Molecule: ribosomal RNA, 282 nt
Filed under: uncultured prokaryote
Description: partial 16S ribosomal RNA
Rfam family: Bacterial small subunit ribosomal RNA
Source: RNAcentral